RNAcentral lists this ribosomal RNA (901 nucleotides) under uncultured Gammaproteobacteria bacterium. RNAcentral describes it as "bacterial SSU rRNA". It matches the Rfam family "Bacterial small subunit ribosomal RNA", at positions 28 to 916 of the family's 1533-position model. The record is from RNAcentral. Lineage: Bacteria; Pseudomonadati; Pseudomonadota; Gammaproteobacteria.
AUUGAACGCUGGCGGCAGGCCUAACACAUGCAAGUCGAGCGGUAACAGAAAAGAAGCUUGCUUCUUUUGCUGACGAGCGGCGGACGGGUGAGUAAUGCCUGGGAAUAUACCCUGAUGUGGGGGAUAACUAUUGGAAACGAUAGCUAAUACCGCAUAAUCUCUUCGGAGCAAAGAGGGGGACCUUCGGGCCUCUCGCGUCAGGAUUAGCCCAGGUGGGAUUAGCUAGUUGGUGGGGUAAUGGCUCACCAAGGCGACGAUCCCUAGCUGGUCUGAGAGGAUGAUCAGCCACACUGGAACUGAGACACGGUCCAGACUCCUACGGGAGGCAGCAGUGGGGAAUAUUGCACAAUGGGGGAAACCCUGAUGCAGCCAUGCCGCGUGUAUGAAGAAGGCCUUCGGGUUGUAAAGUACUUUCAGUUGUGAGGAAGGCGUUGGAGUUAAUAGCUUUAGCGUUUGACGUUAGCAACAGAAGAAGCACCGGCUAACUCCGUGCCAGCAGCCGCGGUAAUACGGAGGGUGCGAGCGUUAAUCGGAAUUACUGGGCGUAAAGCGCGCGUAGGUGGCUUGAUAAGCCGGUUGUGAAAGCCCCGGGCUCAACCUGGGAACGGCAUCCGGAACUGUCAAGCUAGAGUGCAGGAGAGGAAGGUAGAAUUCCCGGUGUAGCGGUGAAAUGCGUAGAGAUCGGGAGGAAUACCAGUGGCGAAGGCGGCCUUCUGGACUGACACUGACACUGAGGUGCGAAAGCGUGGGUAGCAAACAGGAUUAGAUACCCUGGUAGUCCACGCCGUAAACGAUGUCGACCAGCCGUUGGGUGCCUAGCGCACUUUGUGGCGAAGUUAACGCGAUAAGUCGACCGCCUGGGGAGUACGGCCGCAAGGUUAAAACUCAAAUGAAUUGACGG